This is a long non-coding RNA of Mus musculus (house mouse), 978 nucleotides long. RefSeq annotates it as predicted gene, 32223. NCBI's taxonomy places the organism in Eukaryota, Metazoa, Chordata, Mammalia, Rodentia, Muridae. The transcript is spliced from 3 exons. The record is from RefSeq and is a predicted model, not a curated record.
UUUGUCCCAGGAGGUGGAGUGGGGCAGACACAAAGGAUUGCCUCUGGAUGGGCCUGUGCAUGAGCACAUCCAUACCUACACACCAUCUUGGGGUUCACAGACCUCCAGUCGAACUUCACUUGUGUUGUGUGACCUUGCCUGAGAUGGCUGCUCUUUUCCAGCCUUAGCCUUUCAUCUGUGCACUGUAGAUCUGAUGAACAUGAGACGGGCAAACUUGCAGGAUCCCAGUCACACAGAAGGUAAUACAUGAUUAAAUCCGAGGCCCAGGCUACUCCUUUCCCCACUUUGGCUAUGCAAAGAAGAAGACAACUCAAGAGGAUGGAAGACUCCUGUUACCUUGGUGUGGCAAGAGAAGGGGCAUCUUGCUUGGGUGCUUAUGGCUUUGGCUGACCUCCUUUUAGCCGUUACUGGAGGAUGUUUUCUGCUGCAUUCUCAUCUCUAACUGUGCCUACCUCAUCUACCUGUGCAGCCACAGUCAACCGUCCCCUGAGUAAGCUGUGUUCAUGAUCAGAGGCGUCUUCAUUUCAUCAGAGACACUGCAUGCUUAAUGUGAAGGCUUGGGCUGUGGAGAUUCCAUCAACAAACACCAACUAAUUAAGCAACUGAGCAAACAGGAUUCUCUGCUUCUCUUAGAGAAUUAGGCCAAGGCAAACUGUGACAUCAAGCGUGUUUCUUGGUGGUGUACUCUCUGGGGUGUAUUCUGCUCCUUUUUCUCUUUUGAUAACAUUAUACAAUCCAAUCGCUCAGCUUCCUCCUGUAGUUGGCGUCCUACCUUCUAACCAUUUUCCAUCCAAGAGGACAGUCCCCCACUUUUCCUGAGGAGUCCUAUUUAUACACAGCUUGGUGCUAUUUUCUGUGACUCUGUUUUGAGAAGCUCAAAUCCUUGCUCUUGGGUAUGUCUUCCUUCUCCUGAGUGCCUUUGUCUUCCUCUUAACUCUUGUGCUUAAGCCUAUGUUAAUAUUAUAAUAUAUCAUGAAA